CACAACAAUAAAGAUAGGGUAGUGUAUAAUAGCUAAAACAGUGCUCAGGUAUUUUUCACUUAAGGAAAGUAUAGAGAUGUUAAAUAACUUUGGCUUAUAGAAAAAUAUUGUAAUAGCUUCAUCUCAGGAAAAAAGGUAGAGAUGGAAAUUAAGCUUUCAUAUUGUUUAAUUUAAUCUAUGCAUACAUACAAAGAAGAUACAAUCCUUCAAAUCUGGGUAAUGGGCAAAUUUCCAUUUAAUUAUCUGUAUUUUUUCUGUAAAUUGAUAAAAUGCAAUUACGAAACAUUUUAAAAAUAACAAAGUGUCAAAAACAGUAAAUAACUGUUUUAUUUUGAUACUGCUUUUCUUAUUGCAAGUUUGUAUUGUUUUCCAAGCAAAGAUUAUCUGGCAAGCUAAACUGAAAGGAUGGAGCAAAAGCUGUGAAGUCAGACGACAGGGCAGAUUGCAGACCAAGCAGGAUGUUCUUUGUAUGUUGAAACCUGGUCACAGCAGCUUCUUCACUAACAAAGGGAUUUUCCGGAAGUCUUCUUGAGUAGUCUGUUACAUCUUAUUUCUACAUUGUAAGCCAAAUUACUAAUGAAAUUUUCCAUGCUUUCUGGAUCUGGUAAUGUUCAAAAGUAAACCAAACAUUUACUUCGCUGCAUCAUGGACACCUGACUCCUUUGAAGUACGGAGAACCUUUCAUCUUACUUUUGUAAAACUCCCAGUUUUAAUUCAUCAUGGAGGAUACCUUUAAAAACUGUUUUUUCUUGCAUAUUGAGUGAGAUUGGCCAGUCAUAAGACGGGGCUUGAGCUGCGGCUGUUGUUCUCGUGAUUUAUAUUGCGUCAUCUCUCUUCUCCAGUCUACAUCCUGAAGUAAACAGAUGAAAAAUGAGACAGCUGGCUGGGACAAGGAGAUCUCGGCCCACCUUUGACAGAGGUCCUGUGAGCAGCCAAGGGGUAGCCUGUGGCUACAGUUCUUGUGUCUGAUUAACUGACUGAGACAAUGUCAGUCAUCAGUCAAUGGCUUUGUGGUUCGAGUUGUGAUAAGAUACAACUUUGAUAAUAAGCAAUGUGUCUAUGUGUAUUAGUUUGCUAGGGCUGCCAUAACAAAGUACCAUGGACUGGGUGGUUGAAACAAAGAAAUUUAUUUUCUCACAGUUUUGGAGGUUGGAAAGUUCAAGAUUGAGGUGUUCGCAGGGCUUUUCUCCUUGGCUUCUAGAUAGCGAUCUUCUCCCUGUGUCUUCACACGGUUUUCCUUUUGUACACGUCUGCAUCCUAAUUUCCUUGUCUUCUAAGGACACCCGUAAUACUGGAUUACAGCCCAUUAUAAUGACCUCAUGGUAACUUAAUUACCUCUUUAAAGAUACUAUCUCUGAAUACGGUCACAUUCUGAGGUGCUAGAAUAUGAAUUUUCAGGGUCACAAUUCAGCCCAUGACUCUAUGACUAAAGAAUUCCAUUCCAAUUACCCUUAUUGCCCAAGACAUAUUUGGAAUGGACUCUGCCAUACUCCAAACCACUCUUGUUCCUGUUAAUUAAGUGCUAAAUAAAACAGAAAACAAACAAAAAAUGUAAGAAGGAAUCAGUACAAAGGAAAUAUCCCAGAAAAC
Molecule: long non-coding RNA, 1590 nt
Organism: Equus caballus (horse)
Lineage: Eukaryota; Metazoa; Chordata; Mammalia; Perissodactyla; Equidae
Source: RefSeq, a predicted model, not a curated record